This 506-nucleotide ribosomal RNA is filed under the name uncultured bacterium. RNAcentral describes it as "partial 16S ribosomal RNA". It matches the Rfam family "Bacterial small subunit ribosomal RNA", at positions 29 to 523 of the family's 1533-position model. The record is from RNAcentral.
AUUGAACGCUGGCGGCAGGCCUAACACAUGCAAGUCGGACGGUAGCACAGAGGAGCUUGCUCCUCGGGUGACGAGUGGCGGACGGGUGAGUAAUGUCUGGGGAUCUGCCCGAUAGAGGGGGAUAACCACUGGAAACGGUGGCUAAUACCGCAUAACGUCGCAAGACCAAAGAGGGGGACCUUCGGGCCUCUCACUAUCGGAUGAACCCAGAUGGGAUUAGCUAGUAGGCGGGGUAACGGCCCACCUAGGCGACGAUCCCUAGCUGGUCUGAGGGGAUGACCAGCCACACUGGAACGGAGACACGGUGCAGAGUCCUACGGGAGGCAGCAGUGGGGAAUAUUGCACAAUGGGCGCAAGCCUGAUGCAGCCAUGCCGCGUGUAUGAAGAAGGCCUUCGGGUUGUAAAGUACUUUCAGCGGGGAGGAAGGCGAUGUGGUUAAUAACCGCGUCGAUUGACGUUACCCGCAGAAGAAGCACCGGCUAACUCCGUGCCAGCCGCCGCCGUAA